GGUAGAGCUCAGUGGUAGAGCGCGUGCUUCCAUACACGAGGUCCUGGGUUCGGUCCCCAGUACC
This 64-nucleotide transfer RNA is filed under the name Camelus dromedarius (Arabian camel). It matches the Rfam family "tRNA". From Rfam's summary of the family: Transfer RNA (tRNA) molecules are approximately 80 nucleotides in length. Their secondary structure includes four short double-helical elements and three loops (D, anti-codon, and T loops). Further hydrogen bonds mediate the characteristic L-shaped molecular structure. tRNAs have two regions of fundamental functional importance: the anti-codon, which is responsible for specific mRNA codon recognition, and the 3' end, to which the tRNAs corresponding amino acid is attached (by aminoacyl-tRNA synthetases). tRNAs cope with the degeneracy of the genetic code in two manners: having more than one tRNA (with a specific anti-codon) for a particular amino acid; and 'wobble' base-pairing, i.e. permitting non-standard base-pairing at the 3rd anti-codon position. Lineage: Eukaryota; Metazoa; Chordata; Mammalia; Artiodactyla; Camelidae. The record is from Rfam by way of RNAcentral. RNAcentral also lists the same sequence under 2 other names.